Molecule: ribosomal RNA, 410 nt
Filed under: uncultured Methanosaeta sp.
Lineage: Archaea; Methanobacteriati; Methanobacteriota; Methanomicrobia; Methanotrichales; Methanotrichaceae
Description: bacterial SSU rRNA
Rfam family: Archaeal small subunit ribosomal RNA
Source: RNAcentral
ACCGGGGCGACAGCAAUAUGAAGGUCAGGCUGAAGACCUUACCCGAUUAGCUGAGAGGUGGUGCAUGGCCGUCGUCAGUUCGUACUGUGAAGCAUCCUGUUAAGUCAGGCAACGAGCGAGACCCACGUCCACGGUUGCCAGCAUACCCGUCCGGGGUGAUGGGUACACUGUGGAGACCGCCGCUGCUAAAGCGGAGGAAGGAGUGGGCAACGGUAGGUCAGUAUGCCCCGAAUCUCCCGGGCUACACGCGGGCUACAAUGGUUGGUACAAUGGGCAUCUACCCCGAAAGGGGAAGGAAAUCUCUUAAAGCCAAUCGUAGUUCGGAUUGAGGGCUGCAACUCGCCCUCAUGAAGCUGGAAUCCGUAGUAAUCGCGUUUCAACAGAACGCGGUGAAUACGUCCCUGCUCCUU